This is a long non-coding RNA of Mesocricetus auratus (golden hamster), 397 nucleotides long. RefSeq lists it as uncharacterized. NCBI's taxonomy places the organism in Eukaryota, Metazoa, Chordata, Mammalia, Rodentia, Cricetidae. The transcript is spliced from 3 exons. The record is from RefSeq and is a predicted model, not a curated record.
UUCCAGAAUUGCAUCAAUGUCUUUUCAGCAUCCUUCUCCAUUGCAGUAAUAACCUGGGCAAGGGUCCUCCUUGAGCCACAGGCCUUUCUAACCAUAACUCCUUGAUCUCAUGGUUAGAUCAAAGAGGUGUGGUUGCAAAAACAUCCUCUGGUGAUUUACAAGUGACUAACAUCUGUCUUGAACUUCUGCCAGAUGAGAGGAUGCGGGCAUAUAAACAUCACCUCACAGACAGAGUGAACAGUCUCUGAGGACUCUGCUCAGGUAAGGGACCGGCCUCACUCCGCGAGCGAGCGACCAGGGUGCAGCAAGGGACACAGAGGGGGCGCCUGAGACUGACGAGCACACAGUCAGUAUCUUAAACACAGAGCCUCACUGGGGCGGGGCGCAAGGAGCCCGG